Long non-coding RNA from Gavialis gangeticus (Gharial), 6609 nucleotides. RefSeq lists it as uncharacterized. The transcript is spliced from 5 exons. The record is from RefSeq and is a predicted model, not a curated record. NCBI's taxonomy places the organism in Eukaryota, Metazoa, Chordata, Crocodylia, Gavialidae.
ACAGCCAUAACAAAAGUGCUAGGGAGGUUUCUAGCACAACCAGAAGGUUGCCGGAAACUCGCUUAAAUAUAGAAUUAAAUGGUAGCAAUAAACACAAGGUUUUAGUAGCCUAAAUGGAACACAGUCUUUGAUAUCUAUCCAGGACAUUAAUGACACCUGCCUAAAUAAAACUGGGUUGGGGGGUGGGGAAAAUCGGUUUCAGGUCCCUUAAUUAACUAGUACUUGUGGUACUAGUUCUCAACGUCUCCAGGGCUAGCAGUGGAUUUUCAGGAGAUUAAAUUAACAGUCCAGGAUUCACCUGAAGAUGAAAGUCAUUGCAUAUGGUCAGCUGGAUACAAAUAAAAUUUUGAAAAAAAAUCUAAAAUAUUGAUGAUUUUAAAGGGGAAAAAAAAAAAGAUUUCAGACACAAGUUUUGCAUUCUGCUACCUUAAACCUUUUUUGCAUAUUUUAGUUUUCCACAUAGCUUGAAUCUAUAAUAGAAGCAUUUGGCCAUUUUCAUAAUUAAAAAUAACAGCUGAGCUAUUAUUGGGAAAUUAGCUAUGGCUUUCCAUUCCCCGGUCCUCAUCCCAGUCAAAUAAAACAGCUUCCCUGUGAAUUAUGUGAUAUUUUGUAAGGGGUCCAUAAAUGCCAUUGGAAAAAUUGUCCUGAUCCAUGAUGUCAAAAAUCCUUUUUAAAAGCAUUUGGUGCUUUAUUUACAAAUUAUAUUUAAAUUAACAUUAAUCCUGGUACUAUAUGCCCAGCAUAUACCCAGUACUCUGAGCAUGUGCUUUCCUGAAUAUAAAAAUGCAAGAAAAUUAAAGUAUAAAUCUAUAGUAGUUCCCACUAAUACCAAGGAUCUGAGUUAACCACCAAGAGCAAGGAAAUCCAGAGUGAGGGUUACAAAUCUGCCUUUAAUGCAUCCCUUUGGUCCUUGGUGUUACAAGUGUCUCCAAACACCCAGACGUGGUUCUCUCACAUGGGCUGGAAUUCAUAGGUAGGUAUAAUGGGCUCAGUUACUCUCUUGUGGCCAGGGAUUGGGUGUUACAUUACUAAAUAUUCCCGCACAAAUGGUAGGAACUUGGAACCUGUUGGCUUCCAGAAGUUAACGAUGAGCUUCAACAUUAAAACAGCUUCAAGAGCCUGAGAAUAUAUUUAUUAAAGAAGGAGACUCAUGACAAGUAAAUGAACAUGUUUGAAGUGACAGCACAUAAGCUUUCUGGUAUAGAAGCAAGGCUGCUAGUGUUACUUGCAGUACAAAAUGGAUCAGAAACAAAGCUGGAAACGCAACCUUUUAUUUCAGAACAAGCCCUUUAAUCAUUACAUAUUCUUGAAAAAUACAAAAUCUAGUUGACCAUUAAUGUUUAACAUCAUGUUAGUUACUGGGGCAUCUAGUAAAAAAAAUAAUUUUCAUUUUAUAAGUUACAUUCUUGAAAGGAAAAAAGCUUCAGGACUGUUUGGGGCUGUUAGUAAUUAUAUCAGAGAAACUUGAAUGCUUAAACUGAAAUGAAUAUUUGUUUGCAUUUGUAAUGCAGUAAAGAAUUAGUUGAUGACUGCUCACUAAAAUAUGUUUCCCACUGGUCCAAGUCCUACUUUGUACUGAGAAAAAUUAAUGUCUAAUCAUAUGAAAAUGUUACAAGAUGGUUUAAGACACAUAAGAAAAAAGUAUUUGGCAUGCAUUUUUCUUUCCAAACAAUAUUUUGUAUUUUUAUCUUGUAUACAUAUUUAAAACACAGAGAUCCAUAAUAGGAAAGACCAAACUUCAACAAUAAAAAUAUUUCAGCAUCAAAAUGGUUAAUAGUGAGUAUUAUAGCUUCAAAAGAGCCUAUUGGCUAACCUUAAAGGAUGCCCUGCAAUUGUUAAACUCAUCAGAUGAAACUACCUUUCUCAGCUAGCCCUUACAUUUGUCUGGCUAACAGUAAAAAUACUACAAUAAAUCGGUAACAUAUGUUUCCAGACAAGAAUAAGUGAUAUAAAUAAAGAGUCAAGAGACAUAGCCCCUCAAGAACAAUGUGAAAGAUUUAAACUUUCAAUGUAUUAAUUAAUCGAUUAACAUGUUAGAAGUAACUGGAGAGUGUUAUUUUGUUGUUUGUUAAUAUCAUUCCUUAUUUUUCUCUUCUUCUCUUCAGAUUGCAUUUUAAAUCAAAAUGUUCUCCGUGACUGCCUGCUUUGCAGCAUUAGGUGUUUUUAACAAAUGAACACUUCCUUGGGUUGAUCUAAUGACUGUGCUGUAAAGGUGAAAAAACCUGCAUUUCUCAGUCACGGCAGGAUUUCAUUGGCAGAAAGGUACUGUCAGACUAACUUCAUGGGACCAAGUUCUUGCUGAAUGGAGUUCCGCCAGCAGAGAACAUAGGUCAUAUGUUACCUGGUACAUCAUACAUAUCUUCUCCUUCCCCUUCUAUUUUGACCUUACUGAAGUGAAGUAUUUUCUCUACAGUAUGGCUGUAUAGUCAAAAACCUCUCUUGCAUAUUUAAAAAUUAAAAAUGUGGGAGUUUGCAUUACCAACGUCUAAGUUUUCCUUUGUGGCUGUCUCAUCCAAUUAUCAAAAAGGUACAGCAAUUCCUUUAAAAACACAGGUAGAACAUACAUAAACCCACUGUUGAAACAUUCACAGCUUGCAAAAAAGCCCUAUAGAUGUUCCCCAAUCAAGUUUACGUACAUUGUCUUCCAAAAUAUUAUUCCACAAGCUUUAAGAAUUAUAAGGCUGCUUAUAGAUAAAACACAUUCCAGGUAGCGGGUAUCAAAGGCCCUUUCAGAGAUCUAGAAUGAUCUUGUCAUUAAAAUAAUAAGCAGGACUGUAAAUUUAAAAAAAAAGAGAAAAAGAAAAAUGUGAUUAUAUAACACAUCCUGCAGUAAUCAAUUUUACCUCCGAUAUCAUCCUUUUGUUUUCAAAAUGCUAAAUAAACAAUACAUAAUGCAUCCCUCAUCAGCCAAAACCAUGAGGGCUCUGUGCUCAAAUAACAGGAAACAUAUUCAAUUUUCCUAACAGAAGACAGUUCAUUAAGCUGUGCCACAUCAAAUAAAACUUUAAUUUCUCCAGCAUCAGAGUCGCAAUGAAAGCAAUUGAGGAAGAUGAGCCAUAUGGUACUUCUAUCAGCAAACACAUAUUGCUCAUUCCCCCAAAGUUUUCUAAUUCUGCUCCCCAGACCUGUGUAAUAUAGAUAAUGUGCUCUGAGAGCAGCAACCAUGAGCUAUCUGGUGUACACUUCUAAUACUGUAUUUAAUGGGAAAUAAUGAAUCAUAAAAGCCUGCAGAAGACGGCUUUUGCUAACCUAAAUCUCAGCUGUAAUUUCAUUGUUCUGUGCCUAAGAUGCUGUUUGCCCUUUCCAAACAACAGCAGUUGAGCAUAAUUAUGCGGCUUCAAACCUGGGCUGGAGGAAAAACCUUCAUAUUAUAACCAAGUUUCUGUUAACUCUUCAAAUUCUGAACUUGAUGUGACUCUAAUACCAAACUGAGAACUUUGGGUGAUGCUUUAGAGGUCGUAUAAAAAAGUAUAUAGAAAACCAUUCCAGUGGAUAACCACAUAAAUUAAACUUAUGACUCCUAAAUCUGGCCCUAAAAGCAACAAGGGAUGUCAAUGACAAAUUAGGAAAUCUGCUUGACAUGGAGAUAUCUGACAUUCAUCUACCGUAGUAUGUAAAAGUGCCACAACCAUAUAACACACUAAACAAUUUUUUUAGGUAUGUCUUUUUUUGUUGUUGCCAGACACAAAAGUUAGGGUUAGAUCUUUGAAUAAAUGCCUGAAGUAACUUGUCUAAGUUUAAUAAUAUUCUUGCUUUUCUUAUGAUCCAUUUAACUCCAUUAUAAAGAUAAGGUUAGCAGUUUAAUAGCACUGGUGUAAUAUCUGCCCAUGUGUUUGCUUCACCUACAUGUUAGUAAACCUGGGUGUAGGUGAAGGAGUCAGUUUUUUUAAAGGAUGUCUGUAGGCAAGUCUAUAUACAUUAAUAUUUAUACACCUCAAACGAAUUAAGAUUACAAAAAAAUAACAUGGCUUAAUAAUGCUUGGAGAAUUUCUUAACCUCAUUUGAAGUAAUUUCUUUUCCCCCUCCCCAUCCAAAAUAAAAUAAAAAAUACAAGACUAAUUUCAAACAUUGUCUAGAUACACCAUUUAUACAUAUUGAAAACAUAUUUUAGUGGCUGUGUUUGUUUUGGCAAUAUAUGAACCAAAAACAAUUAAAUUAAAAAGAGAGACUUUUAAAAGUUAGAGAUUGCCUUUUAAAAGCUUAUUAAAAUCAGCAUGUUAGAUGUCUGUCUUUGAAUUAGCUUUACAGACUUGAUUGCCUUCAUUAAAGCUGACUGUUUGGGUGCUGCUUCAUGAAUGUUCAAGAGUCUGCUUUUUUUUAACUCCCCCCACAACGCUGAUUCUUACUACUUGUCAACUUGUACAUUCUCCUCUUGAUAGCAUUUUAAAGAACGUGUGCUUUUCGGAAGAAGCAUUCACCUCUAUGUGAAACGGUACAACAAAAACCCUGUCAUUAACGCAACAAAACGACCAACAGCGCAAGGAGGAGGUAGCUGCCUUACCUCCCAAAGAGGAAAAGAAUACCUGAAGGGAGAGGGAACUUACACACCAGCUAAAUGAAAAAGGGCACUUUUCCCCUCAGAGAGACGAAGAAGAAAUUGCACAUCAGAAAUCAUUUGGGGCCAGAUCUGCAAGCGUACUGAGGCUCCUAGCUCCUGGGAAUUUGAUGAGCUGGGCUCCUGUGCCCUCGCCUUUAGGAUCCUUUUUGUGGUGUACAAUAAUCUGAAGAAAUGCAGUAUUAAUUUCAAUACCUGGGAAAUUCAAGCACUGAAUUGUCCCCAGUGGUGCUGGGGAUUGAUCAUUUUGAGUAAACUUGCCCGACUAUGGAGGCAGAUAGAUGAGAGACAAAGUGAAAAGAUUGUAACCUAACAUCACCAGGAUCUACUCCUUCCUCCUGGAACUAUUUGCCACAGCUGCAGUCAAACAUGAAGAUCUCAGAUUGGUUUUUUCAGUCAUGUAUGGAUUCAUGAUGACUCUCAUUUUUACUGGAAGACUUUCAUCCUCAUACCAAAGGACUGGUAUUCAUGUAUAACAAUCAUGACAUGCAGUUGGAAUCCAAGGUGCCUUAUGGAAACCUUGCAGAAUAUAAAAAAAAAAAAACCCUAUUGUUUUCCUCCUUUCUUAUCUACUUUGUGUUAACAUGACCUGUACUGUCAACAGUGAAGAGAAACUUGAUGUCUUUUUUGGGGGGAUAAACCCCCAACCAGACAGAAAUUAAACCCCAAAAGCUAGUGAAGGAUAGGCUGUUGAUACCAUGUAAUGGAAAGAAAACCUAUUUCUGAUAAAAUCUUCAAACACGGAUUUUUUAUAAAUGCUAUUUCUACUUUAACUUUCUCUUCAGAGGAGAUAUGCUACUUUAUAAGCAGUGUAGCUACUGAUGUUACAUAAUGAAAGACAAUUGGUGUCAAAUCAACCUAAACAUACUAUAAAAAUGGAAGAGAAAUAUUUCUUUUUGUCUUUAUUUUGAAAUCUAUCAGUCUUUACAUGUAUGUGUAUUGUAUUGUGGUGUAUGUGUAUGUGUGUGUGGGUGAGACAAAGAAAAUGUAUAUGAUACAUUAUAGAUACAAUCCAUCGUCAUAUGGAUUUUGAUAUCUACUCCAUAAAUUCUUUUAUUUCUGCAGCUGCUUGAUCCAUAUAAUAAUCUACAUUAAUUUUGUAUACCUGACAAUCUCUCCUGUACUCUGCAGACUAAACCAUUUUCACCAUGGCUACUUCUCACGUUCCUAAACCCUUAAGUAACCUUCAUACAGAUUCCAUUUAAAAGAAGGAACUCCUUCCCCAUCCAACUUUGACUUGUUUCCUUUCAAGCAUGGCAGGAACAAACAUUAGGUAAAUAGAGGGACCAAUAUCCAGAUCCAGCUAGAUUUAUUCUUGUACAAGAGAAAGCUUAAUGGUAGGAACCUGAGUUAAAAUAAUUUCAGUGGUACAAGGCGAUGCCUUCUUCACUUGUGCAAUAUACAACUUGUUUUUGCCACUAGUCCUGCAUAGAGCUGUCUUCUCCAUGGCCACACAUGCCUGAGAAAUAUAUAUCCUCCAUACUUUGUUCACAAGAGCUUGAUCCUUCCAGAAAGGGAUAACAGGAAAUGGUGUUGGCUAAGGGUUCAGGGAAAAACAUUUUUAGGUUCUCCUAGUAGCACAAGAGCUGAGGCUAAGGCCCGAGGAGAUGCACGUGUGUUCAGAAGAGAUACAUCCAGUUGUCUAAUGGGAGAGGAAUAAAACUGCCAGCUUCUAGGAUAAAGAGCUUGAGCUAGGAUAUCUAACUGCCAUGAACUGAGGAAAGUAUACAGGAAUGAAGGCUUUGAUUGCACAAAACACCGACUCAUGCAUUUUGAAACUACAUUUGUGAUACUGGCAAAACACAUCUCUAGAAGUCAACAAAAAUUGUAGAUAUUAAGGAAGUCUGAAGAAAGUUUGGCUACCAUUUCCUAUGUGGGAAUAAAGUAUUCAAGGCAUUCAGAUAUUCAAGGGUAAAAAUCUGUCCCAUUUUCUAUUAAGAGUUGAAUUAGUAUGGGCACGUUGGAAAUAUACAUAUUGCUGAAGCCAGAAUAAAUAUAAAUCAUGUUUGUCUUUUGUGCUACUGUAUCUGUUAUUAAAAAGUCUGUGACACAAA